This 214-nucleotide ribosomal RNA is filed under the name Gormaniella terricola. RNAcentral describes it as "small subunit ribosomal RNA". It matches the Rfam family "Bacterial small subunit ribosomal RNA", at positions 193 to 406 of the family's 1533-position model. Lineage: Eukaryota; Viridiplantae; Chlorophyta; Chlorophyceae; Chaetopeltidales; Chaetopeltidaceae. The record is from RNAcentral.
UGCUACCACUAAAAUUGCCAAUGCUCUAAGUGAUGCGCUCGCGCAGGAUUAGGUUGUUGGGUUGGUAAAAGCAGCCCAAGCCCAUGAUCCUUAACCUACCUGAGAGGGAGGUAGGUCACAGUGGCACUGAGACAAGGGCCACAGUUCAUACGAAUUCAGCAGUGGGGAAUUUUUGACAAUAGGCGUAAGCCUGAUCGAGCCGGCUCGCGAAAGU